Molecule: long non-coding RNA, 395 nt
Filed under: Homo sapiens (human)
Lineage: Eukaryota; Metazoa; Chordata; Mammalia; Primates; Hominidae
Description: HSALNT0037036
Source: RNAcentral
GUCCGCGAGCCUGAUCUUUCUCGGUUGUGUGACAAGAACCUGACUUUUCCUGCAGCACAAGGGUGCUCCAAGCCUGAACAUUGAGCACGACCCAGGUCAUAUGCACAACACGACAGGUUGAGCGUCCAUGUGUGGCUACUGGGUUUGCUGGGGACACCUCUUGCCUGCCAGGGUGAGCACACGCAGCAGUGAGCAGCCCCGUGUGACCCCACGGGAUGAGGAUGCCAUGAUGUCAGCAUCCCUUCUGACUUGGAGGUAUGUGACAUUCAUGGUGCCAAUGCCACUGUCACCUUGCAGAUCAGUCUGGGUUUGCUUCAGACAGAAGAUCCUGGAAUAUGUUCAAGCAUUACUCAUCUCCAGACUUUUUCAACCCAAUAAAUUUUCAUACUACUUGA